RNAcentral lists this ribosomal RNA (675 nucleotides) under uncultured bacterium. RNAcentral's name for it is "bacterial SSU rRNA". It matches the Rfam family "Bacterial small subunit ribosomal RNA", at positions 66 to 743 of the family's 1533-position model. The record is from RNAcentral.
GGGUAUAUGUCUUCGGAUAUAGAGACCGGCGCACGGGUGCGUAACGCGUAUGCAAUCUACCUUUCACAGAGGGAUAGCCCAGAGAAAUUUGGAUUAAUACCUCAUAGUAUAUAGCCCUGGCAUCAGGAUUAUAUUAAAGUCACAACGGUGAAAGAUGAGCAUGCGUCCCAUUAGCUAGAUGGUAAGGUAACGGCUUACCAUGGCUACGAUGGGUAGGGGUCCUGAGAGGGAGAUCCCCCACACUGGUACUGAGACACGGACCAGACUCCUACGGGAGGCAGCAGUGAGGAAUAUUGGACAAUGGGCGCAAGCCUGAUCCAGCCAUGCCGCGUGCAGGAUGACGGUCCUAUGGAUUGUAAACUGCUUUUAUACGAGAAGAAACACUCCUUCGUGAAGGAAUUUGACGGUAUCGUAAGAAUAAGGAUCGGCUAACUCCGUGCCAGCAGCCGCGGUAAUACGGAGGAUCCAAGCGUUAUCCGGAAUCAUUGGGUUUAAAGGGUCCGUAGGCGGUUUAAUAAGUCAGUGGUGAAAGCCCAUCGCUCAACGGUGGAACGGCCAUUGAUACUGUUAGACUUGAAUUAUUAGGAAGUAACUAGAAUAUGUAGUGUAGCGGUGAAAUGCUUAGAGAUUACAUGGAAUACCAAUUGCGAAGGCAGGGUACUACUAAUUGAUUGA